GGAACUCACAAAUCUGAACCCCAUAUUCAAUAUCAAGCAUGAGUUCUAAUGAUCAAAAUCCAUGGUUCACUCAUUGACACUAAUGCAGAAUGUUAUACCAAGUCACCUUUACAUACUCAGUUUCAGAAUAAAGAAAAGGGUCCUGAAUAACACCCAUAAUUGGAAAUCUAAUUAUAAAACACACAAAUAGUAAAAGGAAAAUGGGAAUUCAACUUAAAAUAGGAUCUUCAUUUAACCAAACUUCAGAUCUUUAUAUGCAUCAACAAUCAUGCUUUAACUAUGAGCUAAAGAAGUACCUGGAGAUUUGAAAGAGAACAACAGAGGGUAGUGAGACCAAAGAAUAACAGCAACAGUAGAAAUCAACAAGAAACACAUAGCCCUAGAUUUAGUUAACGAAACCAGGAAACUGACUCAAACCCAAUGGAACAGUAACUUCACACAACUUGACCCAAAAACAUUCCAAACUUAAUGUUAACCCAUUUCAAAUUUCGUUAAUGAAGCAGUUUUCUUUUCCAGACAUUGAAAGACUCAGAAAAUCCUGAAGAAACACCUAAUGAUACAGUAUUUUUGGCUGUUCUGUGAUUUAUCAUAAUUGUUUUUCUCAAAAAAAAUCCCCCUUUAUGUUUUUUAAUAGCUUCUUAUAUACUAAGCAUUAGGGCAAACCCCAUAAUUUAAUUUACCUCAUUAGUCCCUUAUUUUAUGACUUGUUAACCAAGUCAUAGCAUGAGAAUUUAACAGUAGACCCAUGCCAGAAAUUUUCAGGGACUUAUUUAGUGGUUACUGCAAGAUUCCUUAAGUGCAUUUCCUAGCUUACCCUUUAAUGACCUUAUUUUUUACCCCCUAAGCUUCAGACUAAAAUAUGAGUCAAUUUGGGGGCUGACCCGUUUAGGAAUUCAUCCUAAGCCUGAAACUUCAAAGUAUGAGGUACAAUCCCAAACAACAUCAAAUUAACAAACGAAGGGAAAACAAAGAACAAAACAGUUUAAGCAGUUCUGAAAAUUUAAUUAACACUUAACAAAAUUGAAACUAACUUAUUAACAAACUAUUUAAACUAUUUAAAGAAAGAAAAACUUCUUAAGAACUAACAUGCAUAAGAAAAAUGAUUAUGGAGAACCAAUAUAACGAAAAGAAAUCAAAAGAAAAGAAAUAACAGAAGUUGAUAAAAUAGGACCUAACAGAAGGCAAAGAAAGCAUGAAAAAGAUAAUAAAUGAGAAAGAAAAAUACCUAAACGGGCUUGGACAUUUAACAAACAGAAAUGGAUCCCCUGACCUUCAAUUUUUGGCUAAUUCUAACGUUAAUCGUGUGUUAUUAUCGAGAACACACAACUAACAUAUAAAAAACACAAAUCUCCCAUGAAAUCUUGAUUUUUAAAAAGUAGGGUUCGGACUCAGAUUCGAAAUUCGAGGGAUUUGACUAAGAUUCGAAGGUUGAGAGUUUGAGACUAGGGAAGAGGUGAUCAUGGGGAUACUGCGGUUUUAAAUUUGGGGUUGAAAAGAGAUGGCGGCAUCACCGGAGACUGUGGCGGUGCUAGGGUUCAUGUCUUCAAAUCAAUAUUUGAAGGGUUUGGUCGAGUUUGAACGAAACCAGUAGUGGAUUCAAGAUGAGGAUGUCAGGGUGGGCUUGUGGUAUAAAUUUGGUUGGGAUUGGACGCUGGCCGCCGUCGUGGGAGAUUUCCAGCGGGCGGCAGGUGGAGGCUCAGGGGAGAGAUCAG
RNAcentral lists this long non-coding RNA (1712 nucleotides) under Nicotiana benthamiana. Its description in RNAcentral is "long non-coding RNA (NBEN_LNC004890)". Lineage: Eukaryota; Viridiplantae; Streptophyta; Magnoliopsida; Solanales; Solanaceae. The record is from RNAcentral.